Gorilla gorilla gorilla (western lowland gorilla) is the source of this 104-nucleotide small nuclear RNA. The record is from Ensembl. Lineage: Eukaryota; Metazoa; Chordata; Mammalia; Primates; Hominidae.
GUGCUCAUUUCAGCAGCACGUACACUAAAAUUGAAAUAAUACAGAGAUUAGCAUGACCCCUGCUCAAGGAUGCCAUGCACAUUUGGGAAGUGUUUCAUAUUUAU